This 314-nucleotide long non-coding RNA is filed under the name Pongo abelii (Sumatran orangutan). RNAcentral describes it as "lincRNA". The record is from RNAcentral. Lineage: Eukaryota; Metazoa; Chordata; Mammalia; Primates; Hominidae.
GGAUCAUAUCAUCUUCAUCUUGUAAUUCUAGUGCUUACUUUGCUCAUGGUUGUUGAAUAAAUGAAUGAAGAGUGAGAAAGCCAGGAGCUCUGAUAUUUAACCACAAGGAUAAUUAAUUCAGUGUGCAACCACGGCUGCUGCUGAAUUGGAAUCUGGAUCAAUAGCUUCCCCUCUAGGAUCUACUGAUGAGUCAAAUCUAAAUCAAGAUCUAGUUUGGAAAGCAUCAAGAGAAUAUUGGGCAUUCCCAGAAGUCAGGACAUUCUACAUAACUACAAUGCAAACCUUGCAAUCAGAAAGUCAACAUUAAUACAUUC